CAGGAGCUCCUAGAAGAACCAGGACCUUCAAAUGACAGUAACAGAGCUUCCCACUUGACCUUCCUGAGCCUGGAGUGGUUCUUCUGUAAACUGAGGAAGCCCUCCUCCACUGUCUUCAAAGAAUUUUCCACAAGGCUCUAAAUUCUACCAGUCUGUGAUUCAAUGAUUCAAUUUCCAUGGAAUCAAACAUACUUAAGAGUCCUACUUUUCCAUUUUGUAGCAGAGAAAUUCUUGGCAACUGCGAAAGUCAAGCAAAGGAAACCAGAGUGCACUUCAGCUGACUAAUGUGCCUAAGGCAGUGAGAGCUGCCGAGUCCAGGAGGAACGAGACGAAGAGACGCAGCGCCAUGUGUGCAGAGGCACUGAGGAUGGGCGUCUACCUAGCCUCCUCCAGCACUGCCCACCCCCACUGCCAAACCACACAAAAGGAGGCCCUUCCCAGGCUGCCCUGCUCUGGCUGUGAUGGGGCAGAGCACCCAUCAGAAGCAAGACCCUGGAAAAGUACAACUGACUCAGACACACAGAAGCCCAGGUAGCAGUCAGAGAAAAUGCUUCUACCCAGAACCACUCCAUGUAGUAGCAGAGUGGUCACAAAGCCCUGGGACACAAGAGUGUCCUGGGAACAGCUAAAGAUCUACUCUCAGUUAUGAGGAGCCGAUUCAAUGACUUCCAAGCAGCAUCAUGGAAGAAGGCAUCAAGCAGAACAUGGGAAAAUUAAAAAUUUAUCCAGACGAUAGAGCAAGGCAUACAGUACCUUCUAAUUAGCAUGCAUAGGAACUUGGUCACUCACCAGUGGAAGUUAAAUUCCAAGGUCAGGGUACAAAGUAAGUUACCCACAGCCAAAUUAUCCCUGAGAAUCUCUUGAGUCUCCCACAAAGUACCAUAUACAUGCUUCUGGCAACCCUGUAUAGUCACUGUUGUGCCUAUCCAAGUUCUAAAAACUUUGAGGCCAACUAAAGGACAGAACCAAAAGGGAGACUAAAUGCAAGCUGGCCAUUCACACCACUCACUCAGCCCUAGGAAGACCAACAAAUCCCUCCCACGAAUGGGAUGGUCUGUGGGGCUCCUGAUUGCCCACAGUAUCUGUUCCAUCUUGUUUUAGUAUUAAACUUCUAUAACUUUAAUAUAUAUUAAUAAACGUGUUUGUUGUGAUGAGUAAGAUGGAAGAUGGUUAGAUUUCUGAAGUGAGGUGAGAAUUGAAUGGGCCCCAUGGUGCAAGACUACUGCACAGAAAAUCUAGUUAAGAACUCAAACUCUGGCCGGGCGCAGUGGCUCACGCCUGUAAUCCUAGCACUCUGG
Microcebus murinus (gray mouse lemur) is the source of this 1298-nucleotide non-coding RNA. The record is from RefSeq and is a predicted model, not a curated record. NCBI's taxonomy places the organism in Eukaryota, Metazoa, Chordata, Mammalia, Primates, Cheirogaleidae.